AGAGUUUGAUCCUGGCUCAGGAUGAACGCCGGCGGUGUGCCUAAUACAUGCAAGUCGUACGCACUGGCCCAACUGAUUGGUGGUGCUUGCACCUGAUUGACGUUGGAUCACCAGUGAGUGGCGGACGGGUGAGUAACACGUAGGUAACCUGCCCCGGAGCGGGGGAUAACAUUUGGAAACAGAUGCUAAUACCGCAUAACAACAAAAGCCGCAUGGCUUUUGUUUGAAAGAUGGCUUUGGCUAUCACUCUGGGAUGGACCUGCGGUGCAUUAGCUAGUUGGUAAGGUAACGGCUUACCAAGGCGAUGAUGCAUAGCCGAGUUGAGAGACUGAUCGGCCACAAUGGAACUGAGACGCGGUCCAUACUCCUACGGGAGGCAGCAGUAGGGAAUCUUCCACAAUGGGCGCAAGCCUGAUGGAGCAACACCGCGUGAGUGAAGAAGGGUUUCGGCUCGUAAAGCUCUGUUGUUGGAGAAGAACGUGCGUGAGAGUAACUGUUUACGCAGUGACGGUAUCCAACCAGAAAGUCACGGCUAACUACGUGCCAGCAGCCGCGGUAAUACGUAGGUGGCAAGCGUUAUCCGGAUUUAUUGGGCGUAAAGCGAGCGCGGGCGGUUGCUUAGGUCUGAUGUGAAAGCCUUCGGCUUAACCGAAGAAGUGCAUCGGAAACCGGGCGACUUGAGUGCAGAAGAGGACAGUGGAACUCCAUGUGUAGCGGUGGAAUGCGUAGAUAUAUGGAAGAACACCAGUGGCGAAGGCGGCUGUCUGGUCUGCAACUGACGCUGAGGCUCGAAAGCAUGGGUAGCGAACAAGAUUAGAUACCCUGGUAGUCCAUGCCGUAAACGAUGA
Molecule: ribosomal RNA, 848 nt
Filed under: uncultured bacterium
Lineage: Bacteria
Description: bacterial SSU rRNA
Rfam family: Bacterial small subunit ribosomal RNA
Source: RNAcentral